UGGGGAAUUUUGGACAAUGGGCGAAAGCCUGAUCCAGCAAUGCCGCGUGUGUGAAGAAGGCCUUCGGGUUGUAAAGCACUUUUGUCCGGAAAGAAAUCCUUGGCUCUAAUACAGUCGGGGGAUGACGGUACCGGAAGAAUAAGCACCGGCUAACUACGUGCCAGCAGCCGCGGUAAUACGUAGGGUGCAAGCGUUAAUCGGAAUUACUGGGCGUAAAGCGUGCGCAGGCGGUUUGCUAAGACCGAUGUGAAAUCCCCGGGCUCAACCUGGGAACUGCAUUGGUGACUGGCAGGCUAGAGUAUGGCAGGAGGGGGGUAGAAUUCCACGCGUAGCAGUGAAAUGCGUAGAGAUGUGGAGGAAUACCGAUGGCGAAGGCAGCCCCCUGGGCCAAUACUGACGCUCAUGCACGAAAGCGUGGGGAGCAAACAGGAUUAGAUACCCUGGUAGUCCACGCCCUAAAACGAUGUCAACUAGUUGUUGGGGAUUCAUUUCCUUAGUAACGUAGCUAACGCGUGAAGUUGACCGCCUGGGGAGUACGGUCGCAAGAUUAAAACUCAAAUGAAUUGACGGGGUCAUA
This 577-nucleotide ribosomal RNA is filed under the name uncultured bacterium. RNAcentral's name for it is "partial 16S ribosomal RNA". It matches the Rfam family "Bacterial small subunit ribosomal RNA", at positions 355 to 923 of the family's 1533-position model. The record is from RNAcentral.